GGUAUACAAUUGAACUGGAAGAAAUGAAGUGGAUCUUUGAUACUAAUGUCCUUCUAUCUACUCGUAAUAUUAAAGUAAAUGUCGACAAGUGUUAUCUGGCUGGGCAUGAACAUUUCUACGUUAAGCAAGUAAAGAGUAAUGGAUUCAAAGCUAUUUGUGGAAUUCAUGCAUUCUCAGGCUACUUAAGUUACUAAGGUAUAGUGAGACUCGAGUGAUAUUUUAGUGACACAAUAUAUUGUUUUAUGUAUAAGUACGUAAUCUUAAUUAAUCGUCAUAAGAUAAGUUUUAUAUAAUUGUAAAAAUGGACUGAUUGUAUUGAACUUAAUCUAUAGGUAUUAGUGAAUAAUUUAAAUGUAGCAAAUGACCUAAGGAUAACCGCAAGGCAAUGUACAAAAAAAUUACUGUAAAUUUUAUAUAUAUCCAUUUUAUAUUUGUAAAUCCGUUUGUUUCCUGACACUCAUAAUUAAACACCUUCAAAGCAAGAGUGAAUUGGCAUCUUCUAGGUAAGCGCGCUCCAACUUAGACCGCAUUAAUGCUAGCCAUCAGGCUUAAUUGUAGUCAAGCACUAGCCUAUAUUGCAUGAAAAAAAAUGCAACAAAUUGACAGAAUUACCAAAAGAGGCAACGGUAUUAAGUUACCCUCAAGAAAAAUCAUAAAGUUACCACGUUUAAAGUCGCGGGCAGCUUAGUUAUAUUACACACUAGCUGACGCCGCGCGGUUUUACCCGCGUGGUUCCCGUUCCCGUAGGAAUACGAGGAUAAUAUAUUCUAUAGCCUUCGUCUAUAAAUGGGCUAUCUAACACUGAAAGAAUUUUUCAUAUCGGACCAGUAGUUCCUUAGAUUCGCGCGUUUAAUCAAACAAGCAAACUCUUCAGCUUUAUAUAUUAGUAUAGAUAAUAUAGCCAAGUUCAACCAUUACAUAACUGAAAUAUUGAUAUUCUACUAUCGUCAAUGUAUAAAUUGAAGUUAUUCUAAUUGAAUAAAGCUCGAUUGUUCAUCGGGUUCCCUUAUCUCGGGUCUAUUAGACCCCUCCGUUGUCUUGUGAAGCAAUUACGAGCUUUGGCCCUUCGGUUACUAUCAGCGAGACGAACUAAUUGACGACUUUGUGUUACAAUGUAUCUUUUUAAACAAUACGUGAGUGUUAUACGUUCUCAGAAUUUAUUAUGAAUAAUAAUUUUAUUGUCUCUAUAUUAGGUAGGUAUAGACUAGCGGACGGUCGCGACUUCGUCCGCGUGGAAAUCAAUAUAAACUUACAACCCCCAUUUCACCACUUGAAUUUAAAAAAAAUCUUGAAUCACAUUUAUAUUUCGUAUUUUUUUAUGAUUUAUGAACAAAUUUUAUAAAAUGUAUCUUUAAAAAUGAAGGACUUUCUAUACAAACUUUCAACCCCUGUUUCACCCCCUUCUAUUUUAUUUUAGGGCCAAAAAGUACCCUAUGUUUUGCUCCAAGGUUCCAUUUACAAUUAUACCAAAAUUCAUCUAGAUCAGUUUAGCCGUGAAAAGGUAACAGACAGACAGACUUACUUUUGCAUUUAUAAUAUUAGAAUAGAAUAAAUAAACAUAUUAAUUUUCAUAAUAUGCUUUGGUAAAUAGAUAACAUUUAAACUUAAAAGUAGACUUAAAACUCCGAGUGUAUCAGUCUUUACCAAAGACCAAUGUCCAGCAGUGGUCUUCCAUCGGCGGACAUUGACGAUGAUGAUGAUGAUGAUGAUGAUGAUGAUGAUGAUCAUGAUAUAUUACAUAAAGAAUGGAUUAACGCAGGAAUCUAGACAACACAUGACGACAAGUACAGCAGACUCCAGCAAGAUCUCAUUUUGCAUCAUGCUGCGAGCGACCUGCCAGUUGCCACCAAACCGUCGAAUAGUUUAACCCUAGUCAGCGUUUCUAUUAUAUAUUUCCCAGAAUGGUUUUAGCUGGAUGUGAAUUCCAAUAUAUUAGUCCAAUGGGCGUUUAGCGAACCCAAAGCCUUCCGGCCGUGCAGCCAAUUGAAAAACUCGAUGGAUCGAUGCUGAAUAUACUGCCCUUGUAGCCAAGUGGCACGUCGAUUCUCUUUCUACGAUCGCAAACGCUACGAAAACUAGAAAAAUGUAUAGGAAUGACAGAACUUGAUCACGUGACCUGUCUAUAGCAAAUGUCAUUCCUAUACAUUUUUCUAGUUUUCGAAGCGUUUGCGAUCGUAGAAAGAGAAUCGAAGUGCCACUUGGUUACGGGGCCUGGCUACUUGAACAACAAGAGCUCAAGUAUACAGUUCUAAUUACAGAGCCAUAGUUGUUAGUUAUGGUGGUACGCAGUGUAAUGGUAUCUCUAAUGACGUCAUCAGUGCCAUCAAAGGGACAUUUUCCCAUAGGAAUGUCCGCCGCUCCCGUUAUCGGACGAGCGAAGUAAUUUACAACGAAUCGUCUAUGACUGAUGGGGUUCCAUCGAUGUCUUUGUUAUUACGCGUUGACCGUUUUGAUGUUUGUAAGGGCGCUUACAGACUAAAGUUCUUUCUUUACAAAGAGAUAUAGGAAUGCUUUUACCUGCGUCUGUGGCAACCUUUAGACUUUAGGCACACCUAGAGAAUUAAGAAAAUUCCCAGGUAUGCAGGUUUCCUCACGAUGAUUUCCUUCGCCGUUUGAGACACGUGCUAUUUAAUUUCUGAAAUGUUGAAGGUGCAUGCCCCGGAUCGGAUUCGAAACCUACGCCCUCUGAAUCGAAGGCAGAGGUCAUAUCCACAUAAAAUUCUAAACUGACCCGUGUUGUGAAUCGAACCCAAGACAUCUGUGUUGAGAACCACAGCACUUCCAACUGUGCUAGAGAGGUCGUCAGAAAAAAUGGACAACAUAGAGUUAGAGGUAGAGUAGGGUAGGGGUAUGGUAGGGUAGUAGGGUAGGGCAGGAGUAUGGUUUUACGCGGACGAAGUCGUGGGCGUCCGCUACUAUUGUAUAGAUUUCACAUGCUCUUCUUGGUCGCAUUCUUCAUUGCUGAAGGUCGUGUCCGCACUGCAGUCCCUUCGAUGCGUUGUUAACGAUUCCCCUCCACACAGUCCGGUCCAUUUUUUCCGGUCAAUUUCACAUGCAUUGCAUUACUAUAUGGUUUGUUCAAUGAAAAUUGAACAUGGAACUUUUUAAUAUAACUAGUUAUUGAAUAAUACAAGCGAACAAAGUCGCGGGCAACCGCUAUUUAUUUCCACCAAUACAUCAAAACCAAUUAUAAUAUAAUUCCUGGUAAUAACUACACAAACCGCAACAGUACGUAUUGACCUAUUUGCACUUGAAUUAAUAUAGCUGUUCACUAUACCACAGAUAAUUGGUGAAUUAUUAAUAAUGCAACACGAACAAUUUAUUAAUUAUUAUUAUGGUGGUAUACAAGUAGAUGCGGUUUGUGGGGGUGGUGGAAAUUUGACUAUUAUAAAGUAAAGUAUAUUUAUUGGAGACCUAUACUACAGCCUUUUUUGAUGAGUACUGUUUACCAACAAAGAAAUUAGAAAUGAAGGUAGAAAACGCAUGCCAUUUCAUAAAUUAUUUAUUUUAAAUUAUGUAUGGUUUGUUUAUUAAACGUUAUAUAAAAUAUAUUACCCAUAUUUAAUUGUUCUAAGCUUAUUAAUCAAAUUUAUUUUCAUUAAUUUAAGAACAAGUUAAUUAUAAUUUAUUGAAAUGACUAGUGAUUUAUACCCUCAUUUUUAAUUUGUUUGUUGGUAAACAGUAUUGAUCAAGAAAGGCUGUAGUAUAGAGUGUAGGCUAACAUAAUGCCUCAUUCGCACGAGAGUUAAAAAAGCGAUGCGUUAAAACCCAGCGUUGGCGGGCGUAGCGUAUAGUAUGAAGUUGAAUAAAGUUCCAUUUCCAACGCCCAAAAUUAUAAAUGCAACACUGCUCGAUAUAAAAAUCGUCAUGUUUUAAAAACGCUGUGCUGUAAUUUAAAAACAUGUACUUGGGAUGGUGUAUUUGUUGUAUUUUAAAUGUUUUUUACCGUCUUUUAAAAAAACGCCAUUGUCCAUAUUGUGACGUUUAGUACAUAAAGUAACAUGGUGAGUUACUUGAUGUACUAAACGUUCUUUUCAAACGCUCCGUUUUUAAAGAAUUUGCUAGCUUGACGUCUAGAAACGAUUGAAAUAUAGACCAUCAUGGCCGACAGGCGUUUAGGCUCGUAUUGUCAAAAAAUUUAAAAAUUUUAAUUUUCAUGUAACCACGUCUUAAAAAAAUAAUAUUUUUUUUCAAUCUAGUAGAAUGUUAAUGAACAAUUUGAAACCAUUUAAAAAAAGGUCAACUAGCCUAUUCGCAACCUUGUUCGCAUGUAAUUAAGUUUUGCUCAAUAAAAUAAAGAUAAGUCCUCAAAAGUUUAAGGGAUAUCGUUUUAGACUUUCUUUCGCAAAAUUACAUAUAACUGAUUGCCUAUAGGUAUGGUUCUUGCCUUGGUGAUGAAGUCUGUCGUUCCCGAUUAUGAUCGUUGAUCUAAGAAAACUCCAACCCUCGAGAAGCUUAUACAAUACUGCAACACUAAAAAAAACAUGUGACAAAAGACCCGGAUGGAACGAAGUUCGCUAUCGCUAUCGCCACCCUGGAACUCACGGCUUACAACUAUAGCAAAAACAUUACCCUCCUUCUUACGCAGUUGGGUAAAAAUUGUUCAACUAUUGGUCUUAAUUUUCUCCGUCUAAAAACCCCCAAACGCGCGAUAAGAAAUUUCGUUCCAAAAUGUGUGCAGAAUUCCAUAAAAAUGCCAUGUAAUUUCCUUCUAAUAAUGAUGAUGAUUUGAUAACCCUCAUUAAACUUACUUUUGUUGUCAUAUCACCGGUUUUCUUAACGCACUUUCCCAUAACAGCUUUCCAUAUUUUCCAUUGUCGAUGUAAUUGCUUCGAUGUUUUCGAGUGCCCCCAUUUUACACCUGACCUCAGCGCCAAAUUCAGCAAAACGCAAUUUGCGCGGUCGACGACAUACCCUUUGUGAUCUGGAGGAGCGGGUGACGGGUGCAUGGUAUUUUCAAUCCUAUAACCAUAUUGUUAUGGCUCAUAAUGGUGUAAGGAUGUGUUGAUUGAUGCGCGACCUUGCGCAUUGUUACACAGAGAUUGACUAUCUUGGGGUACUCAUCUCGUAACUACCUUGUAGGAGAUUGCUGAAAAAAAUGGCCUUGUAAUCUCAAAGCGAAUACCUGAGCCGUGAUAGCCCAGUGGAUAUGACAUCUGCCUCCGAUUCCGGAGGGUGUGGGUUCGAAUCCAGUCUGGGGCAUGCACCUCCAACUUUUCAGUUGUGUGCAUUUUAAGAAAUUAAAUAUCACGUGUCUCAAAUGGUGAAAGAAAACAUCGUGAGGAAACCUGCAUGCCAGAAAAUUUUCUUAAUUCUCUGAGUGUGUGAAGUCUGCCAAUCCGCAUUGGGCCAGCGUGGUGGACUAUUGGCCUAAUCCCUCUCAUUCAGAGAGGAGACUCGAGCUCAGCAGUGAGCCGAAUAUGGGUUGAUAAUGAUGAAUCUCAAAGCAUUUCGUAUACGUUAUCAUGAUAAUUUGACUCGUUUACGUUUUCGUGCACACCAUAAAUGCAAAAAUGCACUGCCUACCUUGAGGAGUCAUUACGAAUCUGCAUUGGAGAGGGAAUUUUUCAUUUUGUAACCAAGUUGUACAAUACAGUGCAUACCCUAGUUGCUCACGCUGUGAACGCCACUGCGUAAACCGUAGAGAGGAUUAGUGAAUGGAACUUAACAAAAGGGAUUUAUAUGGUAGCGAACAUUCCUGGACCAAAAUCAGAACUUCUAUACUCUAUACUAAUAUACAUAUAAAGCUGAAGAGUUUGUUUGUUUGGUUGAACGCACUAAUCUCAGGAACUACUGGUCUUAUUUGAAAAAUUGUUUCAGUUUUAGAUAGCCCAUUUAUCGAAGAAGGCUAUAGGCUAUGUAUUAUCCCCGUAUUCCUACGGGAACGAGAACCACGCGGGUGAAACCGCGCGGCGUCAGCUAGUACUAAAUAAAGGUUCUCGAGAUUGUGUAACAAUAGUUUAUGCUUUAAGUAUUUUGAUACAUUUUUCUCCUUUUUAACCGACUUCAAAAAGGAGUAGGCUAAGUUGCUCUCUCAACUUAACUGGUAUUUUUAUGUAGCGUUUUCAGUUAAAACAAUGAACUAUACUCGGACUAAAUUAUCUGAAACAACAGUAUGCCUAGUGGGAGUUUUCAAUAAUUUCAUACUGUUACUAUCGCGUUGACGUAAACGCGAAUUUAUAUGGAAUUGAAACAGUUGUUCAGUAGUGCCACGAGAUGGCGCUGUUUCAAUUCCUUCAAAUUCGCGUUUACGGUAACGCGAUAGUAACAGUAUUAAACUGCCACUAGGCCCUCUGAAUUCAAAACAGGCGACGUCAAAGCCAGUAUCUCGUGUUCUAAUCAAAUCGUAUAGAUCAUGCACCUCGCGUUUAACCUACUUUCGAACUAAACUUCUAUAAAUGGAACUAAUCCAUUUGAUCCGUCGAUUUCGCAUGCACGGCAAAGUCCUGUUUAUGCUGAUACUUAAUAACUGCAUGACCAAUUUUAAUAAAAAAUCAGUAAUUAUUAACGUCACCAGCUGGCCUAUUCACUAAUUUGGUCUUUGUUAUCAACCUAUUAAAAUAAACAUCAAAUCAACUGACAAAUGUCAUCUACCUACUGUAUGAUAUCCACCAGUAGGCACCGGAAGACAUUCAAACAUAGUGAAUUUGGCCUGCUGGUCAAUGUAUCACGUAUUUGAUGUUAACGGUUCCAUGUAUCAUAGUUGUCGACGUCUCUGGCGUAGUUGGUAGUGCUGUGGAUCUCAACAGUAAGGUCCUGGGUUCGAUUCCCUAGCACAUGCCAGUUUAAGAUUUAAUAUUGUCUAAAUUGGCUUACUUUUGGUCUAGUGGUAGGCUUCGGAAAUGGUUAGUAACUAGCCACUUCCGAAGCCUACGGCUAAACGAUUUAGCGUUCAUUUAUUUAAAUAUCGCGGCAAGAUAACAUGAAUAACAUAAAACAUGGGUUAUAUAAAUUACCGAUGCCAAAAUUAUAGGGGUAUUUUAAAAUUUAUUAUCUACAUUUAAUUGAAUUAUAAGGACAAACUUAUUUAAAAAUCAAAACCAUCAAUCAUCUACGACUCAAACAAUGUGUUACCAUGUAAACCUAAUUAAGUUAAAUUUUCCUCAAGGAAGAAUUUAUACUUGUGAGCAAAAACUGUGCAGCUAAAAUUCAUAGAACAAAAAAUGUAAUCCAAACUACGUAGAACGAGCAUCUAUCAAAAUGAUAUAAAUUCCAACAUCUUGUUUGCCGUAACUACAAAGUUAAGUAACUAUUUUUAUAUUGUUUACUUCUGUUGUUGUUUCCAUUGUGGACUAAGAGCCAGCGAUAGCCAGACUUACCUCAUUUUAUGAAGGCUGACAGUUUGGUAGUAUGUUUUCCUACCCACAUAAUAUAGACAACGCUAAAGCUGACACUUUAUUCCCAUCAUUUAUAUGCGUAUUAGCAAGUACAGUAUUAAUAUACAGGGUAUCCCGUAAUCAAUGGAUAAAACGCAAAUGGCAGAUACAACACUAUAGUAUACUACUAAUUAUCUAAAACUAAUUUGAAGUGACCAAGUAAAUUUUUUUUUUUCGGAUUUUUAUAAUUUUUCCAUCUUGAAUUAGUGUUUUCAAUGCUGUUGCUGUAUAAUUAUGAUUUUAAAGAUCUGAUUUUUGUUAAACGUUACAGAUUAAAUUAUCAAUUGCUAUAGUACUAUUUAUAUUAUAAAUAACGUUUUAUUUGUUAUGUAGAAGAAGCUUUGAGUGCAAUAAUUAUUUUUCUUUUAUCAGGUGACCUGAUUUCAAAAAAUAGUCCUGUAAAAAAUGAAUGUAAGUGUAAAAAGUAAAAUUAACUUCAAAUAAAGUACGGUACAGACGGUAGACAAUCACGGUUACGGUAAUUACGGUUUGGUUUUGAAUACUUGAACGAUCAUUUGUUAAAGUAUACCUACUGUAGAUUCUUUAUUUCAAGUUAAUUUGACUUCUUAUACUUCAGUCCCAUACUGGACAAUUUUUUGAAAUCUGGUCAUCUUAAUGAAUGAAAAAUAACUAUAGCACUGGAAACUUCUACUACAUAACAAAUAAAACGUUGUUUAUAUGAAAAUACCUUGAAACCUUUCAAAGCUACCAAACUCCAUAAUUGGCUUACCGAUGGUAGGAGGAAAAACCUGACAAACUUUCAGACUUUAUAAAAUGAGGUAAGUCUGGCUAUAGCAGGCUCUCGUUUUAUUGUGUUCUGUUGAAAUAAAGAUAUUCUGUGUUUCUUGC
Molecule: long non-coding RNA, 8225 nt
Organism: Bicyclus anynana (squinting bush brown)
Lineage: Eukaryota; Metazoa; Arthropoda; Insecta; Lepidoptera; Nymphalidae
Exons: 3
Source: RefSeq, a predicted model, not a curated record